AUCCUCCAUCCUAUAGUGUAGUUGGAUAUCACGUUCGGCUGUGAUGGACACAUUGUUACCGAAAGCUCACCGACUCGAUUCCGGUUUGGGAUA
Non-coding RNA from Aspergillus nanangensis, 93 nucleotides. The record is from the annotation of a GenBank genome assembly. Lineage: Eukaryota; Fungi; Ascomycota; Eurotiomycetes; Eurotiales; Aspergillaceae.